UUCAAGUAAUCCAGGAUAGGCUUGUUCAAGCUUGGAAGGCCUAUUCUGGAUGACUUGGUUC
Molecule: microRNA precursor, 61 nt
Filed under: Lepisosteus oculatus (spotted gar)
Lineage: Eukaryota; Metazoa; Chordata; Actinopteri; Semionotiformes; Lepisosteidae
Description: Loc-Mir-26-P2_pre stem-loop
Source: RNAcentral